This 659-nucleotide ribosomal RNA is filed under the name Salmonella enterica subsp. enterica serovar Tennessee. RNAcentral describes it as "bacterial LSU rRNA". It matches the Rfam family "Bacterial large subunit ribosomal RNA", at positions 1 to 675 of the family's 2925-position model. The record is from RNAcentral. Lineage: Bacteria; Pseudomonadati; Pseudomonadota; Gammaproteobacteria; Enterobacterales; Enterobacteriaceae.
GGGUUGUGAGGUUAAGCGACUAAGCGUACACGGUGGAUGCCCUGGCAGUCAGAGGCGAUGAAGGACGUGCUAAUCUGCGAUAAGCGCCGGUAAGGUGAUAUGAACCGUUAUAACCGGCGAUUUCCGAAUGGGGAAACCCAGUGUGAUUCGUCACACUAUCAUUAACUGAAUCCAUAGGUUAAUGAGGCGAACCGGGGGAACUGAAACAUCUAAGUACCCCGAGGAAAAGAAAUCAACCGAGAUUCCCCCAGUAGCGGCGAGCGAACGGGGAGGAGCCCAGAGCCUGAAUCAGCAUGUGUGUUAGUGGAAGCGUCUGGAAAGGCGCGCGAUACAGGGUGACAGCCCCGUACACAAAAGCGCAUGUGCUGUGAGCUCGAUGAGUAGGGCGGGACACGUGGUAUCCUGUCUGAAUAUGGGGGGACCAUCCUCCAAGGCUAAAUACUCCUGACUGACCGAUAGUGAACCAGUACCGUGAGGGAAAGGCGAAAAGAACCCCGGCGAGGGGAGUGAAAAAGAACCUGAAACCGUGUACGUACAAGCAGUGGGAGCCCCACCACUAAGCCAGUGGUGAACUCCACAUACGCAUCCUUUGCUGAGGAUACGGUUAACGGAGCGAAAGCGACGUUCAACCGCAAAAGAAGCAGAGGGGGCUUAGUGGU